Molecule: unclassified non-coding RNA, 269 nt
Filed under: Hevea brasiliensis (rubber tree)
Lineage: Eukaryota; Viridiplantae; Streptophyta; Magnoliopsida; Malpighiales; Euphorbiaceae
Source: RNAcentral
GCCAGUGAAAUUUAUUAAAAGUUCUGCAAACUUUUAUUCCUUUACAAGCCAUAAUAUGCAUAACUAUGGAAACAAUUUAACAUUGGCUAGCAUUAGUAGCCCUAUCCAAGUACAAGAAAGAAGAUACAAGGUACUUAUACGUCAUUUGACAAAUUAAGAUAAGACUUACUUCCAUAGGUCCUCCACACAUUAACAAUGACAAGGAGUUCAUAGCAUCCAUAUCAACAUCAGGAUUGAUUAACUUCUUUCAGCCUUAGUCUUGAAACCAU